GAUGAACGCUGGCGGCGUGCCUAAUACAUGCAAGUCGAGCGAACAGACGAGAAGCUUGCUCCUCUGAUGUUAGCGGCGGACGGGUGAGUAACACGUGGAUAACCUACCUAUAAGACUGGGAUAACUUCGGGAAACCGGAGCUAAUACCGGAUAAUAUUUUGAACCGCAUGGUUCAAAAGUGAAAGACGGUCUUGCUGUCACUUAUAGAUGGAUCCGCGCUGCAUUAGCUAGUUGGUAAGGUAACGGCUUACCAAGGCAACGAUGCAUAGCCGACCUGAGAGGGUGAUCGGCCACACUGGAACUGAGACACGGUCCAGACUCCUACGGGAGGCAGCAGUAGGGAAUCUUCCGCAAUGGGCGAAAGCCUGACGGAGCAACGCCGCGUGAGUGAUGAAGGUCUUCGGAUCGUAAAACUCUGUUAUUAGGGAAGAACAUAUGUGUAAGUAACUAUGCACGUCUUGACGGUACCUAAUCAGAAAGCCACGGCUAACUACGUG
Molecule: ribosomal RNA, 497 nt
Filed under: uncultured bacterium
Lineage: Bacteria
Description: partial 16S ribosomal RNA
Rfam family: Bacterial small subunit ribosomal RNA
Source: RNAcentral